This 253-nucleotide ribosomal RNA is filed under the name uncultured bacterium. RNAcentral's name for it is "partial 16S ribosomal RNA". It matches the Rfam family "Bacterial small subunit ribosomal RNA", at positions 524 to 776 of the family's 1533-position model. The record is from RNAcentral.
UACGUAGGGACCAAGCGUUGUUCGGAUUUACUGGGCGUAAAGGGCGCGUAGGCGGCGCGGUAAGUCACUUGUGAAAUCUCUGAGCUUAACUCAGAACGGCCAAGUGAUACUGCAGUGCUAGAGUGUGGAAGGGGCAAUCGGAAUUCUUGGUGUAGCGGUGAAAUGCGUAGAGAUCCGGAAGAACACCGGUGGCGAAGGCGGUCGACUGGGCCAGUACUGACGCUGAGGCGCGAAAGCGUGGGGAGCAAACAGG